This 438-nucleotide ribosomal RNA is filed under the name uncultured bacterium. Its description in RNAcentral is "bacterial SSU rRNA". It matches the Rfam family "Bacterial small subunit ribosomal RNA", at positions 385 to 843 of the family's 1533-position model. The record is from RNAcentral.
GAUCCAGCCAUGCCGCGUGAGUGAUGAAGCCCCUAGGGUCGUAAAGCUCUUUCGCCAGGGAUGAUAAUGACAGUACCUGGUAAAGAAACCCCGGCUAACUCCGUGCCAGCAGCCGCGGUAAUACGGAGGGGGUUAGCGUUGUUCGGAAUUACUGGGCGUAAAGCGCGCGUAGGGGAUUAGUCAGUCAGAGGUGAAAUCCCAGGGCUCAACCCUGGAACUGCCUUUGAUACUGCUAGUCUUGAGUUCGAGAGAGGUGAGUGGAAUUCCGAGUGUAGAGGUGAAAUUCGUAGAUAUUCGGAGGAACACCAGUGGCGAAGGGGCUCACUGGCUCGAUACUGACGCUGAGGUGCGAAAGUGUGGGGAGCAAACAGGAUUAGAUACCCUGGUAGUCCACACCGUAAACGAUGAAUGCCAGUCGUCGGCAAGCAUGCUUGUCGG